UCGAACAAGAGCUGGCAGUUUAGUUUUAGGUUCUAGUGAGUGACGGUGUCUCUCGAGCGACGGAAAGAGUGUGUGUGCGUUUCAUUGACUCUUUCGAACAUAUACGCACAGCGAGAAUUAAUUACGGUGGCACUUCAUUGGAGGUGGGAAGAGAAUUUUCAUUUUUUGAGAUCGUCAGGCUACGCGUCGUCACUAUAAAUUGAACGAGCGACAAUGGAUUCCCUGCAGAGAGGCACCGUCACAACGAACAAUUCACUCUACACGCCCCCCACGGGGGAUUCCCCGACUGACGGCUGCGAAGUUCGUCUCCAGGCGCGGGCAGAAACGACCCCCGCGACUCGGAAACGACGAAUGAUAGAACAGCCGUCGUCGCAGACACCAAAAACUCCGAGACAGGGGUUUCCAGACCCCGACGGAGAUGAAACGAAUCGAGAGACAGACCUCCCCGAGAGCAGGGAGGAUCAAGCUCUCCACGAUGAUGUCAGACUGACCAAAAAGCCGCCAAUGCAUCCAGACGUUUCCGGGAAACGUCAGGUCGAGGUGCAAACAUUGAAUCGAAGAAAUGACUCAGCGAGACUCAGAAAGACCAUUCAGUGGCUUGAGGACGGCGCGCGAAAGCUGCGAGAGGAUCUCGCUGACGCCAGAUCCGAGCUCCAUGAGGAGAGACGAGCGUCGAAGAUCCUGAAGCGUGAGGUGGAAGUGGCUGUACGCGAAGCUCGAUGUGCGGAGGCUGCCAAACAUCAAAAAAUUAUUAAUGAACUGAAAUUAAGACUCGCGCAAUCGCCCUCGCGUGCCCCGGAUUCAGCCCAACUGAACAGUGUUAAGGUUGAAAUGCUGAAGGAGGAGAAUCACAGGCGGGAAAUAACCAUUGCCAGAAAAAGACUCGCUGAGGCGGAUGAAACGAUACGAAAGCUCAGGUCAAGCUCUCUCGAUCCCGGUGGCACCGACAUGAAUAAAAGACGCAAGUUGAAUGCCCCUGAUGUUCAGAGAAUGGAUAAUGAGAUGAGACGGUUACGGGAGGCUAAUAAACGACUCGAGGAGAAGCUGCAAAUUGUCACGGAGGCUGAGCGAGUCCGUACUUUUGAGCUGCGAGUCCAACACGAGAAUUACGAAGCCGAGAUAUGCGCUCUCAAGAAAGCACAGCGCACCGAUACCAUUAGAAUGAUGGAGGAGAUACGGAGCAAGGAGAGAGAUAUCGAGAAACUGGAGAAACUUGCUAGGCGAAAAUGGAGGGCCAGGGAGACAGAACUGAUGAGGAAACUACGGGAGAGCGAAAGGGGUCACCAGAUUCGGUUGGGGCCUCCGAUUGAGGAUAAAAUAAAUCGACAUCGAACUACUGACUCAUGCAAAGCUGACUACGACGUGAGCGAAGCGGACCGCCUCCGUGAGGUAGCGAUAGAGCAGCAAGAGAUAAUCGAAUUCCUGCGUCAAGCUCUGAAAGAGCGCGAGCGCAAAUUGGACCAGCUCUCAAACAAAAAGCGGAAAGAGGAAUUCUACAAACAAUGGCUGGAGCUCGAGCCGGUAGCAGAAGUUGACGACGAAGAGGAGCACGAAGAGGAGGACAGCGCAUUGUCUAGUGCCCCGUCCUCGCUGUCGCCGCAGCCGGGCGGUCACUGGCAGUCGACCGGCGUGUCUCGUGAGACGUACGAAGGACUUCUCCUCGAAUUCGAAGAGCUCCAGACAAAGUACCUCGAGGCCCAGCAGGAGUUGUCCCACGCCAAAACCCAAGUACGCGACCUGGAGCAGGCGCUGCUACAGGAGACGAGAGGAAGUCAGAAUAGCCGGCGUGUACUCAGCGAUAAGCUGAAAGAAACGGAAGAGCGGGAGUCGUGUUUACAGGCUGAAAUUUCAGAGCUGCGGGAGCAGAACGAACUACUCGAAUUUCGUGUGCUUGAGUUGGAAGAGACUGGUGGCCCCAGAGAGUCUCCUGAUACUGCUGACAGUGGCAUUGUAUCACCCGAGCCGAUUCAACUCUUCAAAGACCAGAGCACUAAGCAACAACGGGCGAUAGCGACUGUUAUACCUUACAACUCUUACACCCAGUCGUUGUCCCCGGUACCUGUGCAGAAGCCCCCGCUGUCCCUUCAGGAGAGCGGGAUCUUCGAGGAGGAUGACGAUGAUCAGGUGGAAUGGGCCACCUGUGGUACACAGACUGAGACCCCCUCUGGCGAUCUGCUGCAAGAGGUUCAGAGACUUCAGGAACUUCGGGAGAGAAUACAGGAGAGGGCGGUCAAGGUACCUUUAGAGAGUUUAGAGACUGAUGAUCGGUUGACCUCUUGCAAAGAACGCAUUCAAGAUCUGGAGGAACGAUUAGCGAUCUAUGAGGCGGACGAGAUUGCGAGAUCACAGGAUCAGUUAGUUGCCAAGCAGAGGGAGGAGGAUGUGCUCGAUGAAAAUUAUAAACUUACGGAGAGGGUUUAUUGGUUGGAGAACGAACUGAGGAAUCUUCAAGACGCUGGGAGGAAUCUGGCGGAUGUUGGGACCAUGGCGGGCGUGAUUAAUCCUCAGAAUUUUGAGGAAUUGACUGACGUCUCGAGUACAGUAGCUUUGGAUAUCCCUGCGUCGACGCCUUGUGGCAGAAUCUUUUACGAUGCUUUGAAGGAGAUUGACGAUUCGGAAAUUUGUUCUCCGAUGAGAGCGCAGAGGAAGGAAUGGAGUGGAUGCUCUGAAUCAGUGAAGAGGGGGCCAGAAGCUGAUUGCAAUGACUGCAAUAGGAUGAGAAAGGAUUAUAAUGAACAAAUUCAACAACUCGCUGCCUCUGAGUGCUCACUCCGAAGGAGAAUUGUGGAUUUGGAAACGAGAGAGAUCGCUUUCGCCAAGACUCUUCAGAAGGUCGAUGCCACGUGGACUCAACUUGAGUUCUCCUAUGCUUCAAACCUGAGGAAAAGUGAACAGGAACUUGAAAAGAAGGUCCUUGUUGCUCAGAGAAUGCUCGACAGAAUCGGCGGACUUGAGGAGACGAUCCGCAAUCAUGUGUGUGAGGGGAGUUUUGAUGGUGUCGACAUGAAGGAAAGGAAGGAGGGGGUUGAGGAAGGGGUUCAAACGGAUGAAUCAAUGGAGAUUGAUGAGGACUCGGUUAAAAGUGGAGUUCAUCGAUCUACGCAAACUGAAGAGACUGAAUGUAACGAGGAUUUGCACACCGGAGACAUGAUCCGAAAUCCUUCAGGCCAAAUAAUAGCGGAGUUAGCGCGCGAGGCUCGGGAAGAAGACGAGGUGGCCGUUGAAUCAUCUCGCGCAGUGUCACGUAUUCGCGUGCAACCUGAUGCAACAACUGCCAAUGAUCUUGUCAAAAUAACCGACUCUGAUACGGAUAAGAAGAUUGUUUACUUUCGUUGGAGAUGAGACAUCUGUCCUUUUUUUUGUUGCGGUGACUGUUAUCGUCGAGACUGUGGUUUAGCUAUUACAUCAAGCUUCUCACGUGACCGGCACAAACUCCCGACGUUUGAUAAAAAAAACUGCUCCUUUCUCAACAACGAUAAGGACAAUACUGCUGGCGCUGCUUGGUACCCAAGUGAUGACCAGGAACGGUACGUCCUACCGCACGAACGAGGACACUUCAAACAAUCGUAAAAUUCAAAUUUCCACGCUAAAUACUGUCAUUCAAUAUUCAAAUCUCCCCUGAAAUCUCCUCCAAUUUACGAAACGUCGAGAAUCCCAGCUCACCCACCACUUCCAAACAAUUUACCCAAACAUACCUACUAGCGAUCGACCGAUAUCACGAAUUGAAUCUCAUCGAACGCUACGAGAAAAUGUCGAAAGUAAUGAAAAAUGACGAGUGACGUUUACAAUACUGUUUACAAAAAACGUGUGUUUGUGUACCUAUUCAUUUAUUCUACGUUUGAUUUUCUUCCGAUUUCCCUGUUGAGACUUUAUAUAUGUACGUCAUCACUAUGUCAAUCGUUUAGCGAAUAACAAUGAAGAGCGAGGGGCUAUUCACAGGCGAAUUGGGUGACACCGCGAUUACAAAAUGUAAUAGAUUACCCAGGAUUACAGGACUGA
Molecule: RNA transcript, 3999 nt
Organism: Diachasma alloeum
Lineage: Eukaryota; Metazoa; Arthropoda; Insecta; Hymenoptera; Braconidae
Gene name: janus kinase and microtubule-interacting protein 3
Exons: 9
Source: RefSeq, a predicted model, not a curated record